Molecule: small nuclear RNA, 88 nt
Organism: Rattus norvegicus (Norway rat)
Lineage: Eukaryota; Metazoa; Chordata; Mammalia; Rodentia; Muridae
Source: Ensembl
AAAAACAAAACCUGGACCGAUACAGAGAAGAUUAGCAUGGUCCCUGAGCAAGGAUGACGUGAAAACUUGUGAAGCAUCCCAUUGAAAC